UACGGAGGGUGCAAGCGUUAUCCGGAUUCACUGGGUUUAAAGGGUGCGUAGGUGGGUUGGUAAGUCAGUGGUGAAAUCCCCGAGCUUAACUCGGGAACUGCCAUUGAUACUAUCAGUCUUGAAUAUUGUGGAGGUUAGCGGAAUAUGUCAUGUAGCGGUGAAAUGCUUAGAUAUGACAUAGAACACCAAUUGCGAAGGCAGCUGGCUACACAUAUAUUGACACUGAGGCACGAAAGCGUGGGGAUCAAACAGG
This 253-nucleotide ribosomal RNA is filed under the name uncultured bacterium. RNAcentral describes it as "partial 16S ribosomal RNA". It matches the Rfam family "Bacterial small subunit ribosomal RNA", at positions 524 to 776 of the family's 1533-position model. The record is from RNAcentral.